This 253-nucleotide ribosomal RNA is filed under the name uncultured bacterium. Its description in RNAcentral is "partial 16S ribosomal RNA". It matches the Rfam family "Bacterial small subunit ribosomal RNA", at positions 524 to 776 of the family's 1533-position model. The record is from RNAcentral.
UACAGAGGUCCCAAGCGUUGUUCGGAUUCACUGGGCGUAAAGGGUGCGUAGGUGGCCGGGUAAGUCUGACGUGAAAUCUCCGAGCCUAACUCGGAAACUGCAUCGGAUACUAUCCGGCUCGAGGGUUGGAGGGGGGACUGGAAUACUUGGUGUAGCAGUGAAAUGCGUAGAUAUCAAGUGGAACACCAGUGGCGAAGGCGAGUCUCUGGACAUUUCCUGACGCUGAGGCACGAAAGCCAGGGGAGCAAACGGG